CAUGAUUGUGAUGCCUCCCAGCCAUGUGGAAAUCACCCUGGCAAAGUAUACAUAAAAAUCAUGAAUCUGUGUCUCCGGGACCCAUCAGUGAAAUUCCUGGAGCACUGGCCUAAGGACUUGACCUCUUGCCCACCAGAUAACUCUUGUUAAAACAGAUUUCAAGUCAUAAUCUCUCCUGAAGACUCUUGAUUCAUUGUCAUGCAUCCCCUGGUACUAUUAUACACAUCCAUUAUAAGAAGAAAGCUAACAGAAAAUAUGCUUCCUUGCCAGAGUAUACUACUAAGUUGGAAUCACAGCAGUAUUUUCUUCUAUGAACUCUAUAGCUUAGCUUAUUAAUA
This 338-nucleotide long non-coding RNA is filed under the name Homo sapiens (human). Its description in RNAcentral is "HSALNT0320779". Lineage: Eukaryota; Metazoa; Chordata; Mammalia; Primates; Hominidae. The record is from RNAcentral.